AUUGAACGCUGGCGGCAUGCCUUACACAUGCAAGUCGAACGGCAGCACGGGUGCUUGCACCUGGUGGCGAGUGGCGAACGGGUGAGUAAUACAUCGGAACAUGUCCUGUAGUGGGGGAUAGCCCGGCGAAAGCCGGAUUAAUACCGCAUACGAUCUACGGAUGAAAGCGGGGGACCUUCGGGCCUCGCGCUAUAGGGUUGGCCGAUGGCUGAUUAGCUAGUUGGUGGGGUAAAGGCCUACCAAGGCGACGAUCAGUAGCUGGUCUGAGAGGACGACCAGCCACACUGGGACUGGGACACGGCCCAGACUCCUACGGAGGCAGCAGUGGGGAAUUUUGGACAAUGGGCGAAAGCCUGAUCCAGCAAUGCCGCGUGUGUGAAGAAGGCCUUCGGGUUGUAAAGCACUUUUGUCCGGAAAGAAAUCCUUGGCCCUAAUACGGUCGGGGGAUGACGGUACCGGAAGAAUAAGCACCGGCUAACUACGUG
RNAcentral lists this ribosomal RNA (485 nucleotides) under uncultured bacterium. Its description in RNAcentral is "partial 16S ribosomal RNA". It matches the Rfam family "Bacterial small subunit ribosomal RNA", at positions 30 to 507 of the family's 1533-position model. The record is from RNAcentral.